UGGAUCUCCUAAGGAGGCAGACCUACUCUCUCUAUUUAUUACAGAAAAUGUCAUUGUAUCUGACAAAGAGCAAGUAACUACGGAAAAGAAGAUGAGAACACAUCCCAUCUUGUCAGUAUAGUGAAUAUCAAAGGCAGACGGAAGUAUCACAAGAAAUCUUAACUACAAGAAAUUAUUCCUAAUGAACAUGGAUGAACAUAAAAUGCCUGAUAAUAUCAUAUUUGGUAAAACAAUACAGCAUGUUACACCAGCCGUAGUCUCCUAUAUCUGAAGAUUACCACAUCUCCUGAUGGUAUCAAGAGGCCAUGACAAUGGAUUGACCCACAUCGUUCAGGGUUAUGUAAGUAAAUUCUCUGAUGUUCACCAACUAUAUUCCUGUGGGUAAAUGAUACAUGAGUAGAAGAUUUGAUAUCUUCUAUGCAGCACAAACUAUAUUCCUCUUUCUUAGUAAUACUUAGAGUUGCAUCACAAUUUCGUAUUUUCUAACUUUUUUUUUCAGUUUUGAUCUAGGCAUAGUUCUUUCCAGGAAAGUUAUGUAUAUAAUUCAAAUUAUCCCAACUAUGAACCACUAACCAUGUAAGUAUUUGGAUCCAUAUAAAGUCCUGCCAGCAGUCUCUCACCCUAUGUCAAUUUCCAGCAGCCCAGAGGAUUUGUCAUGUAGUUUUCUACCUUGAUAUCCUCAUUACUCUUCUGUAGAGUAGCUUCCCCAUUUGGAGCAUUUUCACUUUUCCAGGUACAGCCGAUUGUGCUGCUUCUCAGUCGCCUCUUUGCUGCUCUGAAAUGGUCACAUGCCUGUUUAGUCAAGUCGCUGGGCCUGGCAGAGUGGCACCAAGCAGGUACUAUGUUUGUCUAGAUUGUUCCACCACUGGAUGUUGUAUACAGGGGCCAUCCAAGCUUUCAAUGCAAUAGUGCUUUGAAGUGGCUGCUGUGGGAUUGGAGAAGGUGCCUUCCUACAAUAAGGUUGCCUGUAGUAGAUUCUAAAGCAGUGUUUGUUCAAUUUAUUUAGUUUAGAGAGAGAUUAUCAAUUUUUACUCAUAGCUUUCUUUCUCCUUAGGAUCCACCAAACAGUGUUGGGGGACAGAUUACUUUGGUUCCAAACACGCUGUUUUCAGAAUCCCUAGUCUCGUGUGUCAUCAUAGGUCAGUCCCAUCAUACUCAUCUCCAUCCUUGCCACUAAGGACUUCAGACCCCUUGAAAAUAGUUAUUUUUUUUUUGGUCAGGCUACUCCAUCAGCAUGACAAACCAUCCAGACAUGGCUCAAAACAGCAAUGAAUGACGGCUCAUUAUUGAUCUUCACUACUUUUGGAGCUUUACCAUUAUUAUUAUUAUGAAAGCCCAUUGGCCAUGGUGGUGCUGACCUGAAAUUCUAGCUCCUUGGGAGGCUGAGGCUGGAAUAUUGAGAGUCCAAGCCCAGUCUUAGUAACACAGAGAGAUCCAAAAUAAAUGGCCCUAAGACAGCACUUUGAACCAUAAACAUCCUUUAGUUCAUUAGAAUUGUCUUUAUUUAAAUGAUUUAUAAUUUCUGUAGUAGAAGAGUUUCUUUACAUUUUUGGAUUGUGGAUACUGAAGAUGAUGAAUAGUGUCACAGUGAGAGGUAUGUCUUGCAUAAUUACCGAGACCCUAAGCCUGACUUUCCUCAGAUCUUGACCUAUGGCAUGUGUAGAACCUGCUGUGUCACAGGUUGAUAAUUGUUCUCUAAAAUCUGUUCUCCUUUUGUUUCUUACUAAAUCCUUGAAAUGGGCUCAGCUGAAAACACCAUUUCCCAGCCUUGCUUGGAGAUUGGUGUGGCCAAUAAGAUGUUUGCAAGACCUAUGAAGGCUCCUUAAAAGAACGGUGAUUAACAUUCUUCUUUCUUCAUGGAGAUGUGAUAAUGGGAAUUGAUCAACUGUAUUAGAACAAGGAAUAAAUCUUGACAAUGGGAUCCAUGCUUUGGAAGAGUUGAGAAGAAAGGUACAAUGAACUUGGACCCUGAAGAUAUUGAGGAGCGAUCAUGGUAGCUUGGUCUGUCCCAGGAGAUUUCUUUUCAGGCUUAAUGGUUAAUGGAGAUAAAAUUCUAUUGUUUAAAAUAUUCUUUGUUUUUUUCCUGCAAUACACAGCCAAGUAUUAUCUCUAAAGAAUACACCUGUUAAGCAUAAGCAAAAGAUGAACUAUCUCUAGUAUCAGAAAAAUAAAGGAUCUCACUAUCAUCUAUCGAUUCAGGAAUUGUUCUCAUUAUGGAAUGACAUUCAGAAGAGCAGCUGUUACAGGAUUCAGUCUAUCUGAAGCAUUUCAGAUAUUAGUUAAAAAUAAAUAUUUAUGUUUAUGAGUCACAGAAUCAUAAAUGGCUCUAAAAUGAA
Molecule: non-coding RNA, 2336 nt
Organism: Heterocephalus glaber (naked mole-rat)
Lineage: Eukaryota; Metazoa; Chordata; Mammalia; Rodentia; Bathyergidae
Source: RefSeq, a predicted model, not a curated record